RNAcentral lists this ribosomal RNA (397 nucleotides) under uncultured bacterium. RNAcentral describes it as "bacterial SSU rRNA". It matches the Rfam family "Bacterial small subunit ribosomal RNA", at positions 490 to 890 of the family's 1533-position model. The record is from RNAcentral.
GGUCCGGCUAAUUACGUGCCAGCAGCCGCGGUAAUACGUAAGGACCGAGCGUUGUCCGGAAUCAUUGGGCGUAAAGAGUACGUAGGCGGUAAGAUAAGUUAGAAGUAAAAGGCACCGGCUCAACCGGCGUAAGCUUUUAAAACUGUUUUACUUGAGACAUUGAGGGGAAAGUGGAAUUUCUAGUGUAGCGGUGAAAUGCGCAGAUAUUAGGAAGAAUACCAGUGGCGAAGGCGACUGUCUGGACAUUAACUGACGCUGAGGUACGAAAGCGUGGGGAGCAAACAGGAUCAGAUACCCUGGUAGUCCACGCUGUAAACGAUGAGUGCAAGGUGUUGGGGGUCAAACCUCGGUGCCGCCGUUAACACAGUAAGCACUCCGCCUGGGGAGUACGUACGCA